UACAGAGAUGUCAAGCGUUGUUCGGACCUACUGGGCGUAAAGGGCGCGCAGGCGGUGACGUAAGUCUGGAGUGAAAUCCCUCGGCUCAACCGGGGAACUGCUUUAGAAACUGCGUUGCUGGAGUGUUGGAGGGGAGAGUGGAACUCCUGGUGGAGCGGUGAAAUGCGUAGAUAUCAGGAGGAACGCCGGAGGCGAAGGCGACUCUCUGGCCAACCACUGACGCUGAGGCGCGAAAGCUAGGGGAG
RNAcentral lists this ribosomal RNA (245 nucleotides) under uncultured bacterium. Its description in RNAcentral is "partial 16S ribosomal RNA". It matches the Rfam family "Bacterial small subunit ribosomal RNA", at positions 524 to 768 of the family's 1533-position model. The record is from RNAcentral.